GUGUAUGGAGAGAGAGAGAGAGCGCGCGCGCGCCCGAAGAGAGAGAAUCGGAGAUCGAGAUCCCAUUACGAAAGUACGGUAAGAAACCCUAGCUUUCUUCCAAACCCCUCUGUGCUUUCCCUCCCAUUUCUGGGGUUCUCUGCGAAAACCCUAAUUCCUUGCGAAACUAGGUUUUUCGCCAUUCACGAUCUAUCGCCUCGGAGGUCAAAUCCUCCGCAUGCGCUCUCUAGGGUUUCGGACUGUAAAGCCCUAGUCUGAAACAACCUUCGUCGUCGUGAAAACAAAUUAGGGUUUUGUUUUUUAUCAGAUCGGACUUGGUGUUUUUUGAUUUACAUGUAUGGCUUUGGUCGGGGGAGGUGGUGAUGGUUCACGAGAGAAGCACAGAUGGGCAGAGAGCAAGGUCUACACCAGAAAAGCGCACAACAAGGGCUCCAAAAAUGUUCCUCAACAACCCUCGUCUCAAACGCUAGCACCUGAAGAUGGAAACUCGUCCCAGCAGCAGCUUUUGACUCGUUUUGAUGCGGCGUCGGAUGAUUCCUCCAGUCUCAACCGGCGGCAAGUCGCCGUUCCAAACAGCCGUGACCCUCCGGCCGGGAACGGCUCGGUUAGGCCGGCUUUUCCCAGGUUGGAGAACCGGAUAACCAUAAAUCUAUCGUCGAGGUCAAAGCAGGAGAUGCGUGAGCUCCGGCGGAAGCUCGUGAAUGAGCUUGAUCAGGUUAGGAGCCUAGUGAAGAAGCUUGAGGCAAAGGAGCUGCAGCUUACUGGGUUCUCUGGUGGGGGUUAUAGUCACUCGCAGCUGUCGGCCAACGAUGCCAUAGAUAACGGCGGUGCAAAGAGAGUACACUCUGAGGUGGCUUCUGUGGGGCCUCACGAGUCCAGGCCGUUGCAUCAGCUCAGUAUCUCGGUGGUUGAGAACAGCCAAGGGGUAAGCGACGUUGUUGAGAAAGAGAAGAGGACGCCUAAGGCUAACCAGUACUACCGCAAUUCGGACUUUGUUCUUGGAAAAGAGAAGUUCCCCCCUCCUGACAGCAACAAGAAGUCGAAAUCUAAUAGCAGUAAGAAACAUGGUGUAGUAGGAGAUGGAGAAUAUGGCUUUGUGAUGGACAAGCAUACGGCUCAGGCAUUCAAGAGUUGCAGCAAUCUGCUUGCGAAAUUGAUGAAGCACAAACAUGGUUGGGUAUUUAAUACCCCUGUGGACGUGAAGGGGCUUGGACUGCAUGACUAUUACAGCAUUAUUAAGCAUCCAAUGGACCUGGGAACCGUGAAGUCAAGGCUGAACAAGAAUUGGUACAAAUCUCCUAGGGAAUUCGCAGAAGAUGUUAGACUUACCUUCCGUAAUGCCAUGACUUAUAACCCGAAAGGGCAAGAUGUUCACAUUAUGGCGGAACAGUUGGCCAAGAUAUUUGAAGAGAAAUGGGCGGUUUUACAGGCCGAACAUAAUCUUGAUUCGAGGUAUGAGAUGGACCAUGAUAUGGGUCUACCUACCCCUACAUCAAGGAAGGUUCCUCCUUCCCUCCCUCCACCACUUACAGAUAUGAGGCGAACACUGGAUAGAUCAGAAUCUACUACACACCCCAUUGAUCCCAAGAUGAAGCCGGCUGCCUUCACCCCAACUGGUAGAACUCCUGCACCGAAGAAGCCAAAGGCAAAGGAUCCCUUUAAAAGGGACAUGACAUAUGAGGAGAAACAGCGACUCAGCACCAAUCUUCAGAGUUUGCCUUCAGAAAAGUUGGACAAUAUAGUUCAGAUUAUUAAGAAGAGGAAUUCAUCGCUCUGCCAGCAUGACGAUGAGAUUGAAGUGGACAUUGAUAGCGUUGAUGCAGAGACUCUAUGGGAACUUGAUAGGUUUGUGACCAACUACAAAAAGAGUUUGAGCAAGAAUAAACGGAAGGCUGAGAUUGCUGCUGAGCUUGCCAUGCAGGCAAGGCAAGAAGCUGAGCAGAAUGCAGCAGAAGUGAAUGCAGCCCCAGCUAUGGUGGAACCCUCAAAAGAAACUAAAGCAGAUGAAAAGAUCAUCUCCUCGGCCUCUCCUGUUCAAGCAGAAAAGCAAGGGGAUAAUGCUAGUAGAUCAAGUAGUUCAAGCAGUUCUAGUAGUGACUCUGGAUCCUCAUCAAGUGAUUCUGAUAGUGAAAGUUCAUCUGCCUUUGGAUCUGAUGCGGGGCAUUCACCGAGGACUUGAAUGGAUUCAUUUCAGAUACUUGGAGAUGGGAGAUGUAAGAUUUAAGAUAAAGAAUUGGUUAGUUCUGAUGAUUGUUGGAAUGUGACUGUCUGCUGGUUGUAUAUGAAUCAGGCAGUUUUCAAGACCUUUCGUGGUUCUACAAAAAGGAGUGUUUUUGUCAGUUACUGAAUUCAUAGAAAGGCGAUGAUUUUUAUGUGGGUUUUAUUCUUCCUAUCAGAUGGACCCUGUUGGUCUUAAAUCACAGGUUUCCCCAUCAAAAUUUGUAUGAUAUGGUGGUGAUUAGAGACCGUGUAGUAGUCACUGUAAAUUUCUAACCAAUGUUAUUGCUCGUCUGGAUGUUACUUGUUAGAAGUUUGUAAUAGUUUAUAUUUGCUGGUUUACUGUAAAAUUGGUUUUGUCUAAUUGCGAAUGGAGGAGUCCACCAACCACGGUCACUUGGAAGAGGCUGAAGAGUCUCAAAGAAGCAACAGUCGGGGAGGCCAAGCAUGCCGGCGUGGAUGUGUAUUGUUUAUUCAUACACAGAUAUAAGGAGUUGGGAGCUUGGGUGCCACGGUGGCCGAUGCAGCAGCUUCAUCUAGUAAUGACGUCUGAGCUUGAUUUUCUCUUGCAGCAGCUGUAGAUUACAUUCAUGCGUAUUUCUUUUCACUGGUUUUCACUCUAUAGAUCCAACUGUAAUUCAUAUAAAGGGCCUGUUGCUUGUUGCGGUUGCAUACAAGGUUAUUUGCUGCAUAGGUGGGGCAUUCAGAUGUGGUCAAUCCAAGAGAUCAAUUCAUUUGGGUGGUGUUUGAUACUGUGGUAAAUGUCUAUUUUGUUUGGUUUCGGAGUGCACCAUGGACCAUGGUAAAUACUCCCAUCUUUCAAGUUCCACAGUCCAGAAUACACCACCUUUUUAGGUCAUUCAAAUAAACAUUGAUUUAGUAUA
Nelumbo nucifera (sacred lotus) is the source of this 3101-nucleotide non-coding RNA. NCBI's taxonomy places the organism in Eukaryota, Viridiplantae, Streptophyta, Magnoliopsida, Proteales, Nelumbonaceae. The record is from RefSeq and is a predicted model, not a curated record.